RNAcentral lists this long non-coding RNA (904 nucleotides) under Oryctolagus cuniculus (rabbit). Its description in RNAcentral is "lncRNA (ENSOCUG00000035480.1)". Lineage: Eukaryota; Metazoa; Chordata; Mammalia; Lagomorpha; Leporidae. The record is from RNAcentral.
GGCUGGGCGCGAGCUGCCGCCGCCGCCGCCCUAGGUUUUGGGCUCCUUCCUGCCGCGGCUUUGCGCGGCUCUGUCUGCCCCGCUUCAUCUACCUCUUCGCUGCCGAAGGUGCCCGAAACGGAGGAGGCGCGCAGCCCGGCUCCCCGGGAGCCCUCGUCCUCAAUCCUCCUACCUAGGCUGCCGAGGCCGGCCGCGCAGCCCGAGUCCCCGCGGCAGGCCCGGCCCUCCGCCUCCGCCUCCCCCUCCCCCUGGGUUGGUUCUGCCCAGCUGCGGAGGUUGGGCCAGGGGCUGGGGUGCGAGGCGAGUCGGCGCCCGCAGCGCGGAGCCGGGAAGUCGCCGCCACUCUGCUGGGACGCGGAGUUGGCUCCGAGGCGGCGCGCGCGCACGGAGGUCGCGCCGCGGAGCCAGCGAGAGGCGCCAACAAAAGCGGCGAGGCGGUGCCACCCCGGACCGCGGCAGGUAGAGGAGCCGGAGGAGGAGCGCGAGCCCACCGUCCCGAGCCGCCGUGCGUACUUUCUGGAGGGCAGGGCAGCGCGGGGGACUCGGCCCCGGGAGGGGGGACGCCCGCGGCGCGGGGGUGAGCCAAGUUCCGGCGGCGGCGGCGGCGGCGGCGGCUCUCCUCCGCUCCCACGAGAGGAAAGUUUCUGCAGACGCUUCCGGCCAGCCCGCGCCCUCCGGCCCAGCCUCCCGAGCCUUCGGAGCGGGCGUCGUCCCAGCCCAGCUCCGGGGAGAGCGAGCCGCGAUGCCUGGGGCGUGCUCCCGGGGCCCCGCCGCCGGGGACGGGCGGCUGCGGCUCGCGCGCCUGGCGCUGGUCCUCUUGGGCUGGGUCUCCUCGCCCUCUCCCACCUCCUCGGCGUCCUCCUCCACCUCCUCGGCGUCGUCCCUGGCCUCCGAGGUGUCUGCU